Molecule: ribosomal RNA, 1758 nt
Filed under: uncultured marine Polycystinea
Lineage: Eukaryota; Polycystinea
Description: SSU rRNA
Rfam family: Eukaryotic small subunit ribosomal RNA
Source: RNAcentral
UAGUCAUAUGCUUGUCUCAAAGANUAAGCCAUGCAUGUCUAAGUAUAAGCAGAUUAUACUGCGAGACUGCGGACGGCUCANUAAAACAGUCACAAUCUAUUCGAUGAUUCUACUACUCGGAUAACCGUAGUAAUUCUACAGCUAAUACGUGCAUAAACCUGACUUCUAGUCGGGGUAUUUAUUAGAUCACCUAACGCCAAUGCGAGUUCUGCUCGCCCAGACGAAUCAUAGUAACUUCUCGGAUCGGCUAAUGCGCCGACAGAUCGUUCGAAUUUCUGCCCUAUCAGCUUUCGAUGGUAGGAUAGGGGCCUACCAUGGCUUUAACGGGUGACGGAGAAUUAGGGUUCGAUUCCGGAGAGGGAGCCUGAGAAACGGCUACCACAUCCAAGGAAGGCAGCAGGCGCGCAAACUACCCAAUCCCGACUCGGGGAGGUAGUGACAAGAAAUAACAAUAGACGGCCUCUAAUGGUGUCUAAUGGGAAGGAGACCAAUUUAAAUCCCUUAACGAGGAUCAAUGGAGGGCAAGUCUGGUGCCAGCAGCCGCGGUAAUUCCAGCUCCAAUAGCGUAUACUAACGUUGUUGCAGUUAAAAAGCUCGUAGUGGGAUUUCUUUCAUUCUCUCUCAUGGCUCUCCUUCCAGGAGAUGCCAGGGAAAGGUGAAAAAAUUUGUCUUAAUGCAUGCGUCUACUUAACUGUGGACGUAGGUUGAAAGACUCGUUUACUUUGAGAAAAUUAGAGUGUUCAAAGCAGGCAUUCGCCUUGAAUAUGUUAGCAUGGAAUAAUAGCAUAGGACCUCGGUUCUAUUUGUUGGUUGUUCACGAACUGAAGUAAUGAUUGAUAGGGACGGUUGGGGGCAUCCGUAUUCUCAAGCGAGAGGUGAAAUUCUUGGACCUUUGGAAGACGAACAGCUGCGAAAGCGUUUGCCUAGGACGUUCUCUUUAAUCAAGAACGAAAGUUGGGGGAUCGAAGACGAUCAGAUACCGUCGUAGUCUCAACUAUAAACUAUGCCAGCUAGGGAUCGGCGGAUAUUUUUUAAUUUCGUCGGCACCUUACGAGAAAUCAAAGCAUUUGGGGUUCCCGGGGGGAGUAUGGUCGCAAGGCUGAAACUUAAAGGAAUUGACGGAAGGGCACCCACCAGGAGUGGAGCCUGUGGCUUAAUUUGACUCAACACGGGAAAACUUACCCAGGUCCGGACAUAGUAAGGAUUGACAGAUUGAAAGCUCUUUCUUGAUUCUAUGGGUGGUGGUGCAUGGCCGUUCUUAGUUGGUGGAGUGAUUUGUCUGGUUAAUUCCGUUAACGAACGAGACCCGCGCCUGCUAAAUAGUCGAACGCUCUUCAUGAGUGAUUUGCACUUCUUAGAGGGACCAUCUGUGGCUCACCGGAAGGAAGUUGCGGGCAAUAACAGGUCUGUGAUGCCCUUAGAUGUUCUGGGCUGCACACGGGCUACACUGGAGGGUACAACGAGCGUCAUUCCACGCAUACCCGAAAGGGUUUGCCAAUCUUUGAAUACCCUCCGUGAUUGGGAUAGACCAUUGCAAUUUUUGGUCUUCAACGAGGAAUUCCUAGUAAACGCGCGUCAACAACGCGCAUUGAUUACGUCCCUGCCCUUUGUACACACCGCCCGUCGCCCCUACCGAUUGGGAUGUUCUGAUGAGCUAUUUGGAGGCUAAGUGGUAGGGCGUUAAACCUCGACCACAAGCCAAAAUCUCGCAAAUCCGAAUAUCUAGAGGAAGGAGAAGUCGUAACAAGGUUUCCGUAG